UGGGGAAUAUUGGGCAAUGGGGGAAACCCUGACCCAGCGACGCCGCGUGGGGGAAGAAGGCCUUCGGGUCGUAAACCUCUGUCAGGAGGGAAGAAGUGGCAUGUUCCGAACAGGGAUGUGCUUUGACGGUACCUCCAGAGGAAGCACCGGCUAACUCCGUGCCAGCAGCCGCGGUAAUACGGAGGGUGCAAGCGUUAUUCGGAAUCACUGGGCGUAAAGCGCACGUAGGCGGCCAGGCAAGUCAGGUGUGAAAGCCCUCGGCUCAACCGGGGAACUGCACUUGAAACUGCUUGGCUGGAGUCCUGGAGAGGGUGGCGGAAUUCCGGGUGUAGGAGUGAAAUCCGUAGAUAUCCGGAGGAACACCGGUGGCGAAGGCGGCCACCUGGACAGGUACUGACGCUGAGGUGCGAAAGCGUGGGGAGCAAACA
RNAcentral lists this ribosomal RNA (428 nucleotides) under uncultured bacterium. RNAcentral's name for it is "bacterial SSU rRNA". It matches the Rfam family "Bacterial small subunit ribosomal RNA", at positions 355 to 774 of the family's 1533-position model. The record is from RNAcentral.